RNAcentral lists this ribosomal RNA (497 nucleotides) under uncultured bacterium. RNAcentral describes it as "partial 16S ribosomal RNA". It matches the Rfam family "Bacterial small subunit ribosomal RNA", at positions 28 to 507 of the family's 1533-position model. The record is from RNAcentral.
GAUGAACGCUGGCGGCGUGCCUAAUACAUGCAAGUAGAACGCUGAGGGAAGGAGCUUGCUCUUUCCGGGUGAGUGGCGAACGGGUGAGUAACGCGUAGGUAACCUGCCUGGUAGCGGGGGAUAACUAUGGGAAACGAUAGCUAAUACCGCAUAACAGUAUAUGUUGCAUGACUACUAUGUGAAAGGGGCAAUUGCUCCACUACCAGAUGGACCUGCGUUGUAUUAGGUAGUUGGUGAGGUAACGGGCCAACAAAGCGACGAUACAGAACCCACCUGAGAGGGUGAUCGGCCACACCGGGACUGGGACACGGCCCCGACUCCUACGGGGGGCAGCCGGAAGGAAUCUUCGGCAAAGGACGGAAGUCUGACCGAGCAACGCCGCGUGAGGGAAGAAAGUUUUCGGGUCGUAAAGCUCUGUUGUAAGAGAAGAACGAGAGUGAGAGUGAAAAGUUCACACUGUGACGGUAUCUAACCAGAAAGGGACGGCUAACUACGUG